This 253-nucleotide ribosomal RNA is filed under the name uncultured bacterium. RNAcentral describes it as "partial 16S ribosomal RNA". It matches the Rfam family "Bacterial small subunit ribosomal RNA", at positions 524 to 776 of the family's 1533-position model. The record is from RNAcentral.
UACGAAGGGGGCUAGCGUUGCUCGGAAUCACUGGGCGUAAAGCGCGCGUAGGCGGAUCUUUAAGUCAGGGGUGAAAUCCUGGAGCUCAACUCCAGAACUGCCUUUGAUACUGAAGAUCUUGAGUUCGGGAGAGGUGAGUGGAACUGCGAGUGUAGAGGUGAAAUUCGUAGAUAUUCGCAAGAACACCAGUGGCGAAGGCGGCUCACUGGCCCGAUACUGACGCUGAGGCACGAAAGCGUGGGGAGCAAACAGG